Small nucleolar RNA from Cynara cardunculus var. scolymus (artichoke), 108 nucleotides. NCBI's taxonomy places the organism in Eukaryota, Viridiplantae, Streptophyta, Magnoliopsida, Asterales, Asteraceae. The record is from RefSeq and is a predicted model, not a curated record.
AAUGCAUGGUGAGUCAUUUUUCCUAUAAGCUCUUUGAACCUCUCCCAUGCAUCAGGAACAACUUUAUUGUCCACUUGUUUAAAAAGACAAAUUUUAUUUCUGGACUUU